CCAGACUCCUACGGGAGGCAGCAGUGGGGAAUAUUGGGCAAUGGGCGCAAGCCUGACCCAGCGACGCCGCGUGAGGGAAGACGGUCUUCGGAUUGUAAACCUCUUUCAGCAGGGAAGACAAAAGGACGGUACCUGCAGAAGAAGCCACGGCUAACUACGUGCCAGCAGCCGCGGUAAUACGUAGGGGGCAAGCGUUAUCCGGAUUUACUGGGUGUAAAGGGAGCGUAGACGGCGAUGCAAGCCAGAUGUGAAAGCCCGGGGCUCAACCCCGGGACUGCAUUUGGAACUGUGUGGCUGGAGUGUCGGAGAGGCAAGUGGAAUUCCUAGUGUAGCGGUGAAAUGCGUAGAUAUUAGGAGGAACACCAGUGGCGAAGGCGGCUUGCUGGACGAUGACUGACGUUGAGGCUCGAAAGCGUGGGGAGCAAACAGGAUUAGAUACCCGAGUAA
Molecule: ribosomal RNA, 447 nt
Filed under: uncultured bacterium
Lineage: Bacteria
Description: bacterial SSU rRNA
Rfam family: Bacterial small subunit ribosomal RNA
Source: RNAcentral